UCACACAAGAGACCCAAGUUAAUCGUGUACGGCGUAAAGAGUGGGUCCAUGAUUUAUCUCAGUAAUUAAGGUCAAAGUGUAACUGAGCUGUCAUAAGCUUAAGAUGCACCUAAACUCACCCUAAAAACGACCUUAACUAACAUGACUAAUUAAGCCCCACGAAAGCCGGGACACAAACUGGGAUUAGAUACCCCACUAUGCCCGGCCCUAAAUCUCGAUGCCUAACAUACUAAAGCAUCCGCCCGAGAACUACGAGCACAAACGCUUAAAACUCUAAGGACUUGGCGGUGCCCCAAACCCACCUAGAGGAGCCUGUUCUAUAAUCGACAACCCACGAUGCACCCAACCAUUUCUUGCUAAAAACAGCCUACAUACCGCCGUCGCCAGCCCACCUCCUCUGAGAGUACAACAGUGAGCACAAUCGCCCUAACCCCGCUAACAAGACAGGUCAAGGUAUAGCCUAUGAAAUGGAAGAAAUGGGCUACAUUUUCUAAUUUAGAAAACCCUCACUUCUUAAACGAAAAGGAGUAUGAAACAACUCCUAGAAGGCGGAUUUAGCAGUAAAGUGGGAUAAUAAAGCCCCCUUAAAGCCGGCUCUGAGGCACGUACAUACCGCCCGUCACCCUCCUCACAAGCUCUCAUCCACCAAUAAAUAAUACACCCGUUUGCCAAAGAUGAGGUAAGUCGUAACAAGGUAAGUGUACCGG
Molecule: ribosomal RNA, 707 nt
Filed under: Otidiphaps nobilis
Lineage: Eukaryota; Metazoa; Chordata; Aves; Columbiformes; Columbidae
Description: partial 12S ribosomal RNA
Rfam family: Bacterial small subunit ribosomal RNA
Source: RNAcentral